CAUUCCCAAAUCCCAUCACCCCUUUCCCCCCUCCUUUCAUCCCAUCUCCCAGCCCCGCCUGGCAGGAGCAGAGGGAUCCUGCUCACAACUUUCCCCAACUGCCAGGCAGAAGAAUCCCAGCCUUUUCCAAGGGAGUGUCGGUAAAUCAUCAUUACAUCCGACAACGCAACCAGCACCGCUUAACCCUUUGCUGCUCGCCGGCAGGAAAAACAACAACAGCAGCAGAUUUAACAAUGGGGAGAGUAAAAGCGGGUCCCGGCUGUGCGAGAACGGGGGUGUGCGAGCAGUGGGUUUAUGCAUACACGCGUACACAUGGAUGCGAAGAAGCAAUCGUGUGCCCGUGGGUGCAGCGGACACGCGGGGAACGCGCUACCAGCACCCUCCGCCUCACCCGCGGUUCUCCCGCUUCCCGGAGGACGAGCCCAGUGCAGAUGUGCCUCCCACCACCAGCCCCCCCACACCCCCCCCAAAAGGAUCUCUCCUCUGGGUUUAAGAGAGAAGAGGAAAAGGCAGAUUUGGAGAAAUGAAAAUGAUUUAAGGAUGGCUCCGCGGCCUCUCUCUGCUGCCCUCCUCUGUAGCAGUGAAGCACUUACAGAGAGAAGAGUAAUACAGGGCAAAUAAAUAAUUAACGAAGAAGAAACUCUUUUGGGCCAUUGAAGGGAUGAAGACUCUGCCAGGCGCCAUGGAGGAAGGUGCAGGCCCCCGCUCUGGGGAGGAUGCUGAUGGAGGCGGUUGCUCCUCUGCUCUCACUGCCUGGGGGCCGUAAACCUGCAGCCUUCCACCUACCCCACCAUGGACCUCAGUACCAGGUACCUGCCUUGGCUUCUACCUUGGGUUGGUUGGGAGCCUACGGAGAGGGGUUUGAAGGAGUAAAAUCUCCCCCCUUGGCCCUGCCCGCAUCCUCACCCUGGUCCCACAGGGAAGGGGAUUAAAUGGUGGCAUCUCCCCCCUUCUCCCAUCACCAAAUGAUGGAAACUGCAGCCAGGAGGGCAGGGAGUGGGGAAUGAGUUCUCUUAUACAAAUUCCAUCAGGGUAAAUCAGCUCCCAGGUCCGCUUUAGCCAGCUUUGCCAGCAGAGGGGACUUUUGCACGUGGAUUAAACCUUCAUCCCUGCUCUCCCUCCUCUUCCCACAGAGCACGGACCCAGCCACUGCACACACCCUGGGGUAACCAACAGGUCCCUUUUAUCCACACCAGGACACAGCAAACCCCUCAGCUCCAUGGGGUACCCUCAGGGCAACCCAUCACACGGAGCCCCCCCCCCCCACCUCCUCCUCCUUGCACCCUUGGGUGCUCCCACAGCCCUGCUCUCUUCCCCUUGCACAGCAUCCCUGCCUUGGGCACUUACUUUGCAGCGAGGCGAGAGGCUGGGCAGCAUCUCCUCGCAGCCCCAUGUUCAUUGGCAUUCAUUUGUCCCAGCAGCUUACACCAAUUUCUAGUUCUUGAAAGAAUAAUAAUUAAAAAGGAAAUAAAAAGGGGG
Long non-coding RNA from Pezoporus occidentalis (night parrot), 1479 nucleotides. RefSeq lists it as uncharacterized. The transcript is spliced from 2 exons. The record is from RefSeq and is a predicted model, not a curated record. NCBI's taxonomy places the organism in Eukaryota, Metazoa, Chordata, Aves, Psittaciformes, Psittacidae.